CUCGAGUGCCAGGUUACAAAUCUGGCUGUCGUGAUGCCUAAAAAGCAUUGCAUAGCAAGGGCCGGGCAAGACCGGUGCCAGCCGCCGCGGUAACACCGGCGGCUCGAGUGGUAACCGUUAUUAUUGGGUCUAAAGGGUCUGUAGCCGGCCGGGUAAGUCUCUUGGGAAAUCUGGCAGCUUAACUGUCAGGCUUUCAGGAGAUACUGUCUGGCUCGAGGCCGGGAGAGGUGAGAGGUACUUCAGGGGUAGGGGUGAAAUCUUGUAAUCCUUGAAGGACCACCAGUGGCGAAGGCGUCUCACCAGAACGGACCUGACGGCAAGGGACGAAAGCUAGGGGCACGAACCGGAUUAGAUACCCGGGUAGUCCUAGCCGUAAACGAUACUCGCUAGGUGUCGGCAACGGUGCGACCGUUGUCGGUGCCGUAGGGAAGCCGUGAAGCGAGCCACCUGGGAAGUACGGCCGCAAGGCUGAAACUUAAAGGAAUUGGCGGGGGAGCACCACAACGGGUGGAGCUUGCGGUUUAAUUGGAUUCAACGCCGGAAAUCUUACCGGGACCGACAGCAAUAUGAAGGCCAGGCUGAAGACUUUGCCGGAUUAGCUGAGAGGUGGUGCAUGGCCGUCGUCAGUUCGUACUGUGAAGCAUCCUGUUAAGUCAGGCAACGAGCGAGACCCACGCCCACAGUCGCCAGCGUACUCUCCGGAGUGACGGGUACACUGUGGGGACCGCCGCUGCUAAAGCGGAAGAAGGAAUGGGCAACGGUAGGUCAGUAUGCC
Molecule: ribosomal RNA, 775 nt
Filed under: uncultured archaeon
Lineage: Archaea
Description: bacterial SSU rRNA
Rfam family: Archaeal small subunit ribosomal RNA
Source: RNAcentral